RNAcentral lists this ribosomal RNA (1066 nucleotides) under Dactylidispora ellipsospora. RNAcentral's name for it is "SSU rRNA". It matches the Rfam family "Eukaryotic small subunit ribosomal RNA", at positions 39 to 1118 of the family's 1831-position model. Lineage: Eukaryota; Fungi; Ascomycota; Sordariomycetes; Coronophorales; Ceratostomataceae. The record is from RNAcentral.
AAAGAUCAGCCAUGCAUGUCUAAGUAUAAGCAAUUAUACAGCGAAACUGCGAAUGGCUCAUUAUAUAAGUUAUCGUUUAUUUGAUAGUGCCUUACUACUUGGAUAACCGUGGUAAUUCUAGAGCUAAUACAUGCUGAAAGCCCCGACUCGCGGAGGGGCGUAUUUAUUAGAUUAAAAACCAAUGCCCUUCGGGGCUCCCUGGUGAUUCAUGAUAACUUCUCGAAUCGCACGGCCUUGCGCCGGCGAUGGUUCAUUCAAAUUUCUUCCCUAUCAACUUUCGAUGUUUGGGUAGUGGCCAAACAUGGUGGCAACGGGUAACGGAGGGUUAGGGCUCGACCCCGGAGAAGGAGCCUGAGAAACGGCUCCUACAUCCAAGGAAGGCAGCAGGCGCGCAAAUUACCCAAUCCCAACUCGGGGAGGUAGUGACAAUAAAUACUGAUGCAGGGCUCUUUAGGGCCUUGCAAUCGGAAUGAGUACAAUUUAAAUCUCUUAACGAGGAACAAUUGGAGGGCAAGUCUGGUGCCAGCAGCCGCGGUAACUCCAGCUCCAAUAGCGUAUAUUAAAGUUGUUGUGGUUAAAAAGCUCGUAGUUGAACCUUGGAUCUGGCCGUCCGGUCCGCCUCACCGCGUGCACUGGCACGGCCGGAUCUUCCCACCGCGGAAUCGCAUGCCCUUUACUGGGCGUGUCGGGGAAGCGGUACUUUUACUGUGAAAAAAUUAGAGUGCUCUAAGCAGGCCUAUGCUCGAAUACAUUAGCAUGGAAUAAUAGAAUAGGACAGGCGUUCUAUUUUGUUGGUUUCUAGGACGUCUGUAAUGAUUAACAGAAACAAUCGGGGGCGUCAGUAUUGCAUCGUCAGAGGUGAAAUUCUUAGAUCGAUGCAAGACUAACUACUGCGAAAGCAUUCGCCAAGGGUGUUUUCAUUAAUCAGGAACGAAAGUUAGGGGAUCGAAGACGAUCAGAUACCGUCGUAGUCUUAACCAUAAACUAUGCCGACUAGGGAUCGGGCGGUGUUAAUUUUUGACCCGCUCGGCACCUUACGAGAAAUCUCAAGUGCUUGGGCUCCAGG